GAAAGGGCAAGAGCAAGUGGCCAUCCAACAGACUAACCUAAUUGAUAAGGCAGGAAUCAGCCAUGGGUUUUUCCCAGACAUUCCUUGAUCCUAAAAGGUAUGGAUUUGAGACAUGUAGCUGUCCCCCCAGAACUAAAGUGAGUACAUCACUGACAAGUGAGAUUUCCCAAGUGAACAAGAGGCUUAUUUUGUUAUUAAGAGUCACAUGUCCCAUCUCUCUCAUUUGGUGAGUGUUUCAGGUAGCUGAGCAGGGUGAAGGAAGGAGCUGGAACUUGUUGAUCAGGGUGGAAAAGCAUUUUAUGACCAAGCUAUUAUUUGGUCCUCAUCACGACCCCAUGAGAAGAUGACAUCAAUAUUAUUGCCCCCAUCUGACAGAGGAGGAAGCUUCUAGCAGACAGAGGUUAAUCAGCUUGUCCAAGUGUAUAGAGCUAGAUCAUUGACAAGAAUCAGAAGGCCAUAAGAUGAUUCUUAGCCAUCUCUCCCCUCCCUACAACCCAUCUUGGAAGAGCUUCUCUCCUGCUUUUCAGCUUAAUCUCAACAUCCUAAGUAUGGAAGCUUGUCAACAUCAUUCCUCAGACUUAGCCCCUGGACCUGAAGCCAGUAUCCAGCUAUGGUCUGGGUCAAACAGCAAGCCUCCCUCCUUCUGGACCCAGUGGUUCUCCUAAGGGGACUUCAAGGAGCCUCGAAUCUCAUCAGCAUCCAUGUGGGUAAUCCCCUCAGCGGGGAAGAUCACAACCCAGUCACGCCUUCUCAGUCCUGCAUGUAAUUUCAGUCUGCGGCUUUCUUUCAAUCUGCCAAAUGCACUGGUUCUGUAAAUAUUUCAUGGAUAGUGGUGCAGCCCCCAGGCUGUUCAUCUGUUAUCCCUCACUUACCCUGCAUGACCAGUCCUGCCUUCCUUUCUGGUCUAAUGUGUCUCUCACGACACCUUCCACCAUUUGACCCAGCCAAUAAAAAUCUA
Antechinus flavipes (yellow-footed antechinus) is the source of this 958-nucleotide long non-coding RNA. RefSeq lists it as uncharacterized. The record is from RefSeq and is a predicted model, not a curated record. The transcript is spliced from 3 exons. Lineage: Eukaryota; Metazoa; Chordata; Mammalia; Dasyuromorphia; Dasyuridae.